GAGGGAGGAGUGGAGGUGGAGGGAGUAGUGAAGGAGGGAAUGGUGGUGGUGGUGGAGGAGAGUCAGCACAAUGAGAGCCGCCGUGAAGGUUUCAAGGCGAAGAGAACUCGGUAACAGUUCCCUCUGACGGGCCGUGCCUCGCUGGGGUUCCCAUCAGCCGAGAGAGGGAGGCUGGAAGUCAGUCGUCCACGAUUCCACGGCUUGCUUAGCAGCUCACUCCGAGGUGCCUCUACCACCACGGGACAAGCAGUCCCGUCUCUGCGUGUGUUUGAUUGCUAUACCCAAACAAGGGAGAACUUGUUAAACGUGAGAGCGGCUGUUUACAUUCUAACUCUACCGUGUUCGUUGAGCGAUCUUUGCGAAGCAUUUGCACAUCGAGAACGAGUUAUCGGCGGUGGUCGGACUGGGACGACGAUGUUCCGCUACCGUGCGCAUUGUGUUCACGUGAACGCAAUGCGCAGCUGCCAUGAUGACGAUGAUGGAGUGAAGACGUCACGCACACUACCAUGUAUAUAUGUAUGAUACAUAUCAAAUAUUAUUCUCAUUUUACGUUAAAAAAACACACAAAGGAAUAAUCCUUUGCUAGAGUUUGGACUUUCAGAAUCGCUGACCCGGGCCUCGCAUCGAGGUCGGCAAGGGUUGGUGGGACACGAGGGAGAUUUCUUACAGACAGACACCGCGCCGCUCGACACGCGGCCUCGUCGCCAAACACUUGGGGCAAGUACUGUUGGCGAGCUCCUAUUAAGGCCGCAACUGAAACGUGAGAGAGUGGUGUGCGUGGUGUGUAUGUGGCCAAAGCCACGCCGGAUCGCCUACGUCUCAACCCAACCAACGUCGUCCACGCAGCAACAGCCGCCACGUGCCAGGCGAGGUGCACUCCGAGGCCACGUGAAGCGUCGAUGACUCGCUGCUGGCAGGAGGUCGCGGGACAGACCCGGGUGCCGUGUAUUGACCGUGAUGACUGGUGGAUGCGCCACCAGUACACAUACACAAUCACGCACACAAAUACUGCAGCAGGUAAACAUGUUGGGCUGAGUCGACCUCGGGGAGGGCCACGCUCUUGGGGCAAAUAUUGUCAGCGAGCACCUAUUAAGGCCGGCACGGCGCGCGUGGUGUGACCAUCACCACAGCAGACCGUCUUUCUCUCCCCUGUGCUGGCUUUUAAACACCGCACCAGGUCCUCAUUUAAGGCUGAGUCUACCUCGAAGAGACCCAGGACCGGUACAGUUAUUACUCGCCACUGAAUGUAGCCAUGGCCUGGAACCGAACUCAGAUCGCCCAUUCAUUAACACCACACAAGUGGCGGGACGUCACUACAGCGCUCGUGCCAGGCUAUGUGCACGUUAAGGCCACGUGGAAUGUCGAGCGCCCGCUGGCAGGAGGUCACCGGACAGGCGCAGGUGCCAUUGUUUUGACUGACUGAGAUGACUGGUCGAUGCACCAUCUGGGCCCCCUACUGUGCCAACUUGCUGUGCCAACUUGCCGCGCGCGCACAAACACACGCACACACGUGCGCAUUAUUAGUUACUGGAGUUGUACAUUUGUACACGUGUAGUGCCAUUGUUAACGUGGCAUGCGCUGGGUGUGAGUGCAUUGCAUCUCAUACCCUGCCCGGUGGUGUAAGUCCAUGCUCAGUAAGAACCAUUUCGUCAGGUGUCAGGGUUGGAAUCGAACCCACGACGUCUUGCAUCGCAGGCAAGGUAGUUAACAUCUCGCCACCGUGACCACCACUUGUCGUGGGCCGCACUUGCAAUGAAGCACGCCGGUUUGUAGAGCAACAACUAUAAAGUUACAUUGAAUAGCUUGGAGUGACGAGACUUCAUAGGCAACCACGGCACGUAUUCUUGCUCGGCUGCAUCUCUAACAGAGCGGCUCCCCUAGCCGGGGUAAGCGCGUACCUCUGGGGGUGCUCGUGACAUAUUCCCGGCGGGGGGGGGGGGCGGGGGGGGGGUACGCGCGACAGUUCGCGUAGUGGCGAUGGUGACAUUGGGGCUGCGUUGUGCACGGCAAUACUCACGUCGCGUGCCUUGGCGUUGCGCAACAUCGGGCGACCCGACCUGACCCCGUGUCCCGACAUCAUUCUUCUCGCACUCGCUUAGCAUUCGUUGAUGAUACUUAUUAUUAUUUUUUUACAAAUAAACAGAACCGAGUCUGCGCGGUCGUCAGAACAUCUCGGCACAUGCAGUAUCGGCCUUCCCCCCGUGUCCCAUGACGAUGGUAGUGAGUCUAAACUUAAAUUAACUCGACAUCAGUAGUUUGUAAAGAGCAAUUGCGGUGUACAUAUUAAAUUGUAAAUAGUUAAGUGCAUUUGCUGUUAACUUAUUGAGUGUUCACUAAAUGUGCAGGGUGUUGAUAAUGUGUGAAUGUAAUACCGAUGUUAUAAUGGUGUGUACUCAUUGGUACGGUAAGAAGUGAUCGGGGUUAGGUCGGGGGUGUUGACAGCCAAAGGUUUAGGAACCACUUCUGGUACACAAGGUCGUGCACUGCUCGCUGCUUGCGGGAGUCCUGAAUGGAAUUGUGUCCGUCUCGUGACGUCGGCGGCACGUGUAAAAUUACAUUGGAAGAGAAACUGCAACAUUUUUAAACAAAGAUAAUAAAGGAAAUACCUAUUA
This is a non-coding RNA of Petromyzon marinus (sea lamprey), 2612 nucleotides long. The record is from RefSeq and is a predicted model, not a curated record. NCBI's taxonomy places the organism in Eukaryota, Metazoa, Chordata, Hyperoartia, Petromyzontiformes, Petromyzontidae.